AACUCAAAUUGGUUAGAGUAAAAGGCUAAUAACCUUUAAGCUGCAGGUUCGAUUCCUGCC
RNAcentral lists this transfer RNA (60 nucleotides) under Chitinophagales bacterium. Its description in RNAcentral is "tRNA-Ile". It matches the Rfam family "tRNA", at positions 9 to 64 of the family's 71-position model. Rfam says of the family: Transfer RNA (tRNA) molecules are approximately 80 nucleotides in length. Lineage: Bacteria; Pseudomonadati; Bacteroidota; Chitinophagia; Chitinophagales. The record is from RNAcentral.